GCAAGUCGAGGGGUAACAGAGGUAGCUUGCUACUUGCUGACGACCGGCGCACGGGUGCGUAACGCGUAUAGAAUCUACCUUAUACUGGGGGAUAGCCUUUGGAACGAAGAUUAACACCCCAUAGCACCUAUUUUUGGCAUCAUUAAUAGGUUAAAACUCCGGUGGUAUAAGAUGACUAUGCGUUCUAUUAGUUAGUUGGUAAGGUAACGGCUUACCAUGGCGACGAUAGGUAGGGGUCCUGAGAGGGAGAUC
Molecule: ribosomal RNA, 252 nt
Filed under: uncultured bacterium
Lineage: Bacteria
Description: partial 16S ribosomal RNA
Rfam family: Bacterial small subunit ribosomal RNA
Source: RNAcentral